Molecule: long non-coding RNA, 1682 nt
Filed under: Volvox carteri
Lineage: Eukaryota; Viridiplantae; Chlorophyta; Chlorophyceae; Chlamydomonadales; Volvocaceae
Description: long non-coding RNA (VCAR_LNC002289)
Source: RNAcentral
GGUGAUUCACGGGAGGGCGGCGCCACCAGCAUCACACGCAACGCCUCAGCCGGCAGCCUGCUGCCCUUCCCUACGUUCCGGCAAUCCGUCAUGGGGUCCGGGCAGCCGGCAGCAGCGGCUCAUGGGUCCUUCAGUGAUAGGGCCCUGGAGGAGCAGUUGGCGGCUGGCGUUAACCUGGGCCUUACGCGCGGAGACGAUGCCGGCGACGGCAGUUCCAUUAGUGGCCGUUACUACCGGUGCGAGGUGUUGGUUGGUGUAUUUCCUGGUCAUGGUUUGAUUGUCUUGUGAUGCGAUACCUACCCCCUAAUGGAGGCUGUCAUGUUGCGGGGGGCUCCCCUCUCACCUCGCCAGUUUAGGGGUACUGGGACGUGAGGUGCAGCCCCCGACCUGGCCGCCACUCUCCCCAUCCUCUGUUCUUUGGGAAAAGGUGUGGCACACUAAAAGGUGGUAACCCAGUGGUGUGGCUUUUUUCGCCGUCUACCGUCUGACGGUAUGCCACACACACGGCGGUGUAUGCUCGCGGUGCUGCACUUGCCUGUACAGUGCAUGAUAUGGGAAUCUAAACCACGUUCUUUUCCUUGAGUACCAUUCAGGCGGCCACUGUUAACGCCAGCCCUCACACGACUUGCCUUGCCCGUGGCCCUGUAUAUGCAUCUGCUUACCUAGGGUCCCCCUGGCCCACUGUUACGCAGAUCCCCUAAGCUAUCUCUUUUUCCCAACUCAUUGUCAUUAAUCUCCACAACCAGCUCCUAUCUCAAUUGUUAUUUGUGUCAAGAUGGGGUCUCGUCCGGGGCGGGGGCUUUCCUUUCUUACUGCUAACGCGCCCUCCCCACCUUGUGGCCCGCCAUGCCUGCCUACCUGCCCGCCUGCAGCUAUGUGUUUGACCCGGCGGACGUGCAGGCGGAGAUGGAGGUGACGGCCCGAGUGCGGCGAGCUGCCGCGGAAGCCCUCAUGGAGGCCAAUUCCAAGCUGGCGGAGGCGCAGGCUGCGGCUGCGGCGUUGCAACAGCAGGUGGAGCAGGCCAAGCAGCUGGAACAGGUAGGGAGUUAGGAGGGUAUGGUGAUGGGGAACACCGCGAAGGGGAGCUGGGCGCGUUGGUGACCUACGGUGCGGGGAGGUGACGGGGCGGUUGGUGCCGUUCUGUAGGAAGUUUGGUGAAGGCGCAUGGAUUGGGCGGAUACGGAACUUCGUGGCCAGUCCCACGUGCGUGAAGAGGAAAAGUAAUUUCUGUUGAAGUAGGGUGGGGGAGAGGGAAGGCCUUGUCGACCCCCCGGGAAGGCUGCGCCAGUUUUGGAGUGGCGCUGAGCGAAUGAAGGGUCUUGCUGAGAAGCAGUGGGCUGGGGGAUGGCGAGGGCUCGAUUUAUUUUCUCGGGAUGGACGCAAUGGAAAUUGGGAGUUAAAAGAGGGAACUUGUGCAUGUGGCCUGCGUGUGACGGCAUUGAAUGGAAGGGGUAGCCUCGCUUACGACAAGGAAAUACCUGAUAGCGAAUACCGUUGCGAGCUCUCGUAACUAGUGGUGAGUUGGUGCGGUAGCAUGCAGCUUGGUAGCAUUGCGAUGGAGCUUCGUUCCUUUCCCUGAGACACCUCCCUCUGCUUGGACCCCGUGCCGGGGCCUCCGUUUCACCCUCCGCUAAUGGUGGUCUAUCAUUCGUAUUACAUACAUAUUCACACAUACCUUACAG